GCCAGGCGUGGUGGUGCAUGCCUAUAAUCCCAGCAGUCUGGGAGGCUGAGGUAGGAGGAUUGCAAGUUGAAAGCCAGUCUCAGCAACUUAGUGAGGCCCUGAGCAACUUAGCGAGACCCUGUCUCUA
Molecule: small RNA, 127 nt
Filed under: Marmota monax (woodchuck)
Lineage: Eukaryota; Metazoa; Chordata; Mammalia; Rodentia; Sciuridae
Source: RNAcentral